Molecule: long non-coding RNA, 1521 nt
Organism: Ooceraea biroi (clonal raider ant)
Lineage: Eukaryota; Metazoa; Arthropoda; Insecta; Hymenoptera; Formicidae
Source: RefSeq, a predicted model, not a curated record
GGCGCGACGACGAAGGGCGGUGGCACCGGUCGCGCGGAUCGCUGAGGUGACACCUGAUAUCGCGACCAACGAAUACCUUCGCCAACAGAACUUUCUCUCCGGACCUGCGACUGUAGAUAAAAUUCGAUAUUUCAGGGACAAGGAGGAGGGCAACAGGGACAAGGAGGUGCUCAAAGAAAACUGAGCGUGAGUAGUACAAUGAUGUAUAGCUGCAGUUUUAUUUGUAUAUACAUUUUCUUAUAAGUAUUUUAUUCUCAAUAAUCAUCUGAGUUAAUAUACAUGUAAAAUUUCCUUGCGUAUUUCACUGGUUGCCGUGGACGUGCCUGAAUUUAAAUGAAAAUCAUUUAUAUUCGUGCACCGUGCUUCUAUUACUCCCUACUGUCUUACAUAUCUCUUCAUUUUUUUUUCUUCAUCUUAAUGCGUUAUACACCAGCUAAAAAGGAUACUGCCGUCUAUAGGUAUUUUCUAAGUUCGCCCAUUAAUAUUCAUGGCUUAGCGCGUCUGUGGCUACCUCCGUGGAUUACAAAUAGGUGCGCAGAGAAGACUAAACAACUCGACGGGUCGGUCAGACGCGUCAUUCUGCAUCCACACUUCGUAUUAUCUCCCGUACGAUUAAAUACAAUCGAACGUCUUACACUGGAAGUACCAAAACCGCCGUCUAUCGCUUCGCUACUUUUCGCGAUUGAUGUCUGCUGCUUCUCUGCAUACCACGUUAUCGCUUCGCCCUGCUAUCUUUCACCACCGCGAUGCCAAAUGCGUCCAUUUCUCUGUCCCGGAUACGUUCGUUCACGCGAUAAAAUUCCGGCGAUUUCGAAAAUAAGCCCCCACCCUCGCGUUCAGCCUCUAUUUUCACUGCCUUCAUGAUUUUCUUUGGUAUGCAUGUAUGUAUGUAUGUACGUGUAUGUACCUGGCCAAUUGCCGUGGAUGGUAAUGCAUAUUGUACGAUGUUACGUAAUCCUUACAGCCCUUACAGUCAUUAUCAUCCCGCUGCGCUAUUACAACUCUCCUUUGUAAAAUUGUACAUUCGGUUAUGAUAAAAAUCUGUUAAUGCUAGAUCGCAAGAUCGCAACGGCCACUUUUAACGGCUGGUGAACGUCAAGUUGACAAUUCGACUGUUACAUCCCUUUGACUUCUAUCUUCUCGUAUCAUUCCUCUAUCCCUGCGGCAAUCAGCAGUGAUCGGUACUGAAUUCUUUACCUAGAAAAAGGCUGCUGUGAUACAAAUACAGAGAUAUUUGCCGGUCCUUCUAAAGUUAGAUACCUUACUUCUAUGUCACAUUCGUCAUCCAAGAGUUAAUCAACGAUCAGGCUGACAGGUUCUCCGAUUUCGAUCACGUUUCGACAUUACAGAUGUAACGAGAUUGCAGAUGUAAUGAGAUAUAACGUGCAAUUUGCAACUCUCGCGGUUACUCGGUAUCAAUCAGCCUAAUGAUACAAGUCUUGCAUCAAAUCCUAAAUGCGUUCUGCUCGCAAACGAGCAUCGAUUGAGACAGAUUACACAGGAUAGACACGAUGUUAAAAA